RNAcentral lists this ribosomal RNA (450 nucleotides) under uncultured bacterium. RNAcentral's name for it is "partial 16S ribosomal RNA". It matches the Rfam family "Bacterial small subunit ribosomal RNA", at positions 354 to 796 of the family's 1533-position model. The record is from RNAcentral.
GUAGGGAAUAUUGGACAAUGGGCGAAAGCCUGAUCCAGCCAUGCCGCGUGUGUGAAGAAGGUCUUCGGAUUGUAAAGCACUUUAAGUUGGGAGGAAGGGCAGUAAGUUAAUACCUUGCUGUUUUGACGUUACCGACAGAAUAAGCACCGGCUAACUUCGUGCCAGCAGCCGCGGUAAUACGAAGGGUGCAAGCGUUAAUCGGAAUUACUGGGCGUAAAGCGCGCGUAGGUGGUUUUGUAAGUUGGAGGUGAAAUCCACGGGCUCAACCUGGGAACUGCCUCCAAAACUGCAUGACUAGAGUACGGUAGAGGGUAGUGGAAUUUCCUGUGUAGCGGUGAAAUGCGUAGAUAUAGGAAGGAACACCAGUGGCGAAGGCGACUACCUGGACUGAUACUGACACUGAGGUGCGAAAGCGUGGGGAGCAAACAGGAUUAGAUACCCGGGUAGUCC